Molecule: small RNA, 364 nt
Filed under: Pontibacillus halophilus JSM 076056 = DSM 19796
Lineage: Bacteria; Bacillati; Bacillota; Bacilli; Caryophanales; Bacillaceae
Description: cspA thermoregulator
Rfam family: cspA thermoregulator
Source: Rfam by way of RNAcentral
CUGGGAACUUUUAUGGUCCUGCAUUUCUUUAAGAAGUUGCCUUUUUUAUGUUUCCAUUCAUCGUUCCUUUGUAAUAACACACGUUUACGUGAUCGUAUUUUAGGAGGAUUUUCAAGAUGCAAAAUGGUACAGUAAAAUGGUUUAACGCAGAAAAAGGUUACGGUUUCAUUCAAGUUGAAGGCGGUAACGAUGUAUUCGUACACUACUCUGCUAUCCAAGAAGAAGGUUUCAAAACACUAGAAGAAGGCCAAAGCGUUUCUUUCGAAAUCGUUGAAGGCGACCGCGGCCCACAAGCUGCUAACGUAACAAAAAACUAAUCAUUGCCCAUAUAUACAAGGUACCCCAACUCGGGGUACCUUUUUUU